GAGAUUCUACUUGACUGGUCAUUUCUAUUUAAGCUCAUCUUUAUAUAGAAAAACUUUUCUCUGCUGUUUCUCUUGUUGCAUUCCAACUGCGUUCGCAUCAAUUCAUUGCUAGAACAACCUCACCCGAAAACAAACUAUAAUAAAAGAAAAUAAAGAUGAUGAUCACUGACAAUUGAAUUUGAAACCAUAUUAAGCGUUCUAGCAAUACACUUCCUGAGGAUAUUGCCCUACACCCAUACAUGAAAGCACCCCUUCAAUUAAACAUUGGCGGAAGCUUUUUCACUAGUUUCAUAUUCAGUUUAUUUCCCUCAAAUUGUCCGACUCCCCCAUUUUAUUAUGUCAUCUCUUGUGAAAGGAAGCCUAAAUUUAUCAUGCUUAAUGCCCAUUAAGAUAAUCAUCUGCAAAAUGUGGCUGGAGAAGUAGAAGUUUCCAUGAAGUUUUAACUUUGAUUCAAAGGCUUGUGUGGUUGGUAAUGUUGAAUUUGGAGCCUUGCCUAUAGAGUUCGUGUUUCAGAUAAUUCUGUUACCAUUCUCCUUCCAUUACCUAUCAUUAGACUGAAAAAAAAAUGCCUAAUUUAACAACACAUCAUUCGAUUCAUGGGACAGGUCCUUGGAACUGAUGCUGGUGGAACAAAGGAGAUUGUUGAGCACAAUGUGACAGGUCUUCUUCAUCCUUUGGGACGUCCAGGUACUCAGGUUCUUGCACAAAACUUGGAGUUUCUACUAAAAAAUCCACAGGUAAGGGAGAAAAUGGGAGCUGAAGGAAGAAAGAAGGUAAAGAAAAUUUACUUAAAACGGCACAUGUACAAAAAAUUUGUUGAGGUCAUUGUCAAAUGUAUGAGAACAAAGUAAAAUUUGAGAUUUCUCAUUCUUUCAUUGCUGGUAAAAUUGAAGAAUUUGAGCAACACAUUGGCUACCGUUGUUUACUGUGAGAAAUAUAUAGAAUAAUAUCUUUAAUUUCUCCAAAGAUUGUUGUUACUGGCAGGUUGUUUUUCAGCUUCAGUCAGUUUCUUUUCAUUGAUUCUUUAGAGAUUUGAUGUGUCUUUUAUACUUCCAUUUACUUGUGACACUCUGGUUACGUAGAGAGCUUCUUGUAUUGAAAAUUCUAAAUUUAUAGAAGAUAUGUUAGUUUGAUGGAAAAAAUGAAACCAAAAGGACUGACUGAUGCACAUCUGAUUUCAGUUAGGUUUGGUGAAAGAAUAUCAGUUGGGGUUUUGGGGAAGUUGAAGGACUAAGACAAAAUAUUGACUAUAAUUGAAAAAUUAGAAAAAUUGAAAAAAAGAAAAUAAUUUAUCUCACUAUGAAAAUAGUUAAUGUGAAUAUUAACUAUUUUAUGUGCCACAUAUCUAAUAUCACAUUCUGCAUAUCAAAUUUUUGGUAUCAUCAUAUAAUAUAUAAAUUUAUAUUUCAAUAAGACGUUUAUGCGAAAGAAAGUCAACUCAAAAGGAUUAGAGACAUUAUUAUUAUUAUUAUUUUAGCAAACUCUAGUUUGCUGACUUACAAAUUGGGAUACAACUCCUAUUUAUAGGACUAAGAUCAUAGAUUAAGAUUUUGAUUACUGCUUGUGCCGUAGCUAGAUAUUUUCUCAAUUGAAUUUAUUUUCUCCACCAAAAACGGGCCAUAGUAGGGACUUCUUGUUCAUGAUCAUCAAUGGUUCUAUAAUUAUAGCAAGAGCUUUGAACAUAAAAUACAGAUUGUUCAUAGGUUUUAUCUCAUUAUUUACCUUAUGAUCAUCACCAACUUCCCACACUAUUUGAUAACAAACAAUUAUUAGGACCCAUGUGGGAGAGGACCAUAAAAAAUUAAACCCUAUUAUCAUAGUCUUGUUCAUGGAGAAGGAUAUUGUUUUUGAAUCCAACCAUUUGUUUGUAUGGUUGAAGGGAAUUGAAAGGCCUAAUAAUUUAAAGAGAGAGAGACUGGGGGGGGGGGGGGGGGGUGGGGGGGGCUCUUCUUCAACGAACAAAAGCUUGAGCAAAAUCAUGCUUCAUUGUCGCUAUGGAAGAUCGUUCCAUGUUUAAUUUUGUUCACGUGAUGGUAUGGCCCUAAUGGCUUUGCGUGUAAUUUUUGUUUUCUUAUGUCUUAAUCAAACAUAUAUGAUUUGAUUUGACACUUCCCCCACAUGUCAAACUUAAAAUUAUUGAAACAACAUUUAUAUGAAAUGAUGAAAUAGAAGAAAAAAAAAGGACAGAUAUACAAUUAAUUCUGUCAUCAAAUAUUUAAGAUUGUUUUACAAUUUCAAUAACUAUCACCAAAAUGUACAUCCAUUUUUCUUAUUAUCCAUAGUUAAUAAUAAAAGAUUAUUAUUUACUAUAACCAAUAGACAAUCAUAAAAUAUAUCAUUAUUGAUUACGAAUGGUAGAUUGAUUUUAAAAAGAUAAACUAAUUAAGAAAAUUGACAAUAAAUACAAUUUUGAAGGUAUACAUGAAUUGAUGAUAGUCAAUCAUAAAAGUAUAUCACUUUUAUCAUUGAUAAACAAUGAUAUUUGUGACUAUCAUUGACUACGAUUAGUGGUAGACUACGAUUAAUGGUAGACUAAUUUAUAGGUAAUCCUAUCAUCGAUAAAAAAAGUGAUAGAAGACUAUUACUAACUAUUAAUAAUUAAUGUAUGUCGCUUUUUUUUUAAUCACCAAAAGUGUAUUUGACUCACUAACAUGAGUACAAAUGUGUUGAUAUAGUAUAUCAACUCAUUGUUUGGCCACUACCAUUGUGACACUUUCAGAACCAACUUCGACAACCACUUUCACAGUACUCCCAAUUCCAACUAUCAACUUUGAGCUCCGACAAUCACCUCUGGUGUCCAACUUUGGCAACCAAUUUCAGGCUCCUACAAUCACUUCGAUGAUAAUUCCAGUGACCACUUUUGCAUGAACAACUUCAACGACCAAUUUUGCACCUUUAAUGACCACCUUUCGACGACCAACUCCACUAACCCCCUUCACACGACCAACUACAACAACUGAUUAUGGGCUUCAACAUCCAUCUUUGACGACCACUUUCGCGCAACCAAUUGAUCUGAUGAUCAAUUUCCAGCUCGACAACCACUUCUAAUAACAACUCUCUGACAACCAAUUUGACAACCAUCUUCAUGUGCCAAUCUCCAGACGGUCAAUUUCGGUCUCUAUUAUUUGUGAACAUAUAAAUAAACCCUAAAUACAACCCUUUUCUUUGUGCACAUUCAACACUCGUACGUUCUAUGAUUGUUAGAGUGUAAGGUUGAUAAUUAGAUAAAUAAUUCUACUUUGUCUACUUUAAGUCAACAACUAUAUGUAGAAUGAAUCACAUGUGAAAUGAGUGUCAAGAAUUUGAAAAAUUAUUUAUCGAAUAGAAUAGUUUUACAAAAGACGAACAAAAAACAAACAAAAACAAAAACUCAAAAUAAAAGCAACAAAUAACGCAAAAAAAGGAAGAAAAAAGAUCCAUAAAUUAUAUAUUUGUUUUCUAUAGAUAGCAUUUUCUAGCCAGAAAUUUUUUUAUAAAAAAUAAUGAUUUGUUAUUGGCUAAUCCUCCAAAUUUGAAGAAUUUGAAAGGGAGAUUCAAUUAAAAUAAUUAAUGACAAAAAAAAUAAAAUAAGAAAAUAAAAAUACAGAGUAAUGCUAAAAAUAAGAUUAAAAAUAAAUGAAAAAGAUUGUUAUCAUGUUUUAUUCACACGAGAGUAUAAUUAUUGAAUAAAAAAAGUUUAAAACAAAAAUAUAGUAACCAUAAAACACAAAUAAUUAGGAAGAUUUGUUAAACAAACUUCAAACGUUACCUUUAUAACAUAUGAACUCAAAGAUCUACACUCAAACACUGACAAAUAAGUUCAAACAAAACAAUUUUGCACUCCAAACUUGCAUAUAAACUCUUCAAACAUAUAUGAACUUUAGACAUUAGAUAUUCUAUAUAUUAUUUCUACUUUUACCAGUCAAAAACUGCUUUUAAUCAUUAAAAAUAAAUUUUAAUAUUUUGAAAAAGGUGGUUAAGAAGGUAUUUUCAGAAAAUGAUUCUAACUUAAAAGUAAAAAAAGUAAAAUAAAUAAAAAAAAGCUUUCAUGAUUCUAAAUUUCAAAGGAAAGUUUUAAAGUUUAACAAGUGUGCCUUUUCAUUUAUCCUCCAAACAAGUGCCUAAAGAAAUAAGAAAAUUUUCAUUUCUAGCCACAUCUCCAAAUGCUCUAAGUCACACUUCUUUGAGAGAAUUAAUAGUGCAUUUUCAAAAGAGAUUUCACAACGUUAAUUAUUCAAACAAUAGCACCAAAUCAUUCCGUUUUAAAUAUGUGAAUCAUUUCUCUACUAAUUUUCAAAUGAUCCUAAACAUCUUCCCACAUGUCUUUUCUAAUUUAAUCUUAGAAGUAAAAGAACAAUAAAAUAUUUUAAAACUAGAGAACAUUAAUGCUCUCUAGUUUUCAAUUUCUUUUAGAGAUGGUUAGUUAUAAGAGAAUCAACCUUAAUCUAAAAAUAAUGAUAUUUUAAAGUCUAAAAGUUAGAACAAAAUUAAAGAUGGCCUCCACACAAUUUCUAUAAACUUAGUCUAAAACAAUGUUUUAUCCGUUAUAUAUAUGCAAUCUAAUUUAUAGUUUUAAUUAGCUUGGUUAAUCUAGAAAUUUGAUGUGAAGAACACAUAUUUUGCAAUUAUAAUUAAGUUACAAUAAUAUAUUGUGUAAUUAUUAAGUUGAGGCAUGUGUAACUCUUUUGUUUCAAACUUGUUCAUAAUAUUACUUCUUAGAAAGAUUAAGGUUUUGGAAACUAUAAACGAAGAAAACAAGAAUCUGAAUGAGAAACAAAAUGAAAAAACCACUAAAUUACCAAAUGUCCCUUUGAAUUCAAACGACACAGUGAGAAGAAAAAGUCCACCGACUUAAAGGUUUCAAUGACGGAUGCCAUUGUGGGAAUUGGCAUUGCCAAUGUGUGUUGAUCAGAAGUACUUUCAGAAUUAUUUUUGUCUAUGUUUUAUCACAACCCAAAAGACAAGGAACAACCCUA
This 4955-nucleotide long non-coding RNA is filed under the name Cucumis sativus (cucumber). RNAcentral's name for it is "long non-coding RNA (CSAT_LNC001135)". The record is from RNAcentral. Lineage: Eukaryota; Viridiplantae; Streptophyta; Magnoliopsida; Cucurbitales; Cucurbitaceae.